AUUAUCUAUAUAUGUUAAAUAAAAAAUGGAUAUAGAUAUGAAUAUAAUGAUGUCUGAUCCAUAUUUGAUCGUUUUCAGCCCUAAAACCAAAUCAAUUUUUUUCUUGCCAUAUUCUUCCAAACUCAAAGAUUCAAAAAGCAUUAUUAAGAUCCAUUUAUAUAAUAUAAUAUAAUAUAUACUUAUUGCAACAAUAGAAGCAGCAAAAUAAAUGAUAUUAAACAUGUUAUUUCAUGGCAGCUAAAAUAUGAGCUUAGAGAUUAUUAUUUAACAGAGCUGAAAAAUACAAUGAGUUUUGCACCAUAAGGAAUAUAGGUCAAUGAAUCAUUAGAAUCAUUGAUGAUUCUAAAAUGGAAAUUAACUAUGGUCUUGGUGGCAUUUGCAAGUCACUGAUGCUUCCUUCCAACAUAUUCACUACUCUA
Molecule: long non-coding RNA, 419 nt
Filed under: Phoenix dactylifera (date palm)
Lineage: Eukaryota; Viridiplantae; Streptophyta; Magnoliopsida; Arecales; Arecaceae
Description: long non-coding RNA (PDAC_LNC013861)
Source: RNAcentral